UUUUGUUAAGCUGCUGUGCUGCUAAACUUUUUGAUGUCUUCUGUCCAAAAUUGCUGCCAUGUCUGUCAUCUCUUGUUUCUCUCAACAGUCUGUUGUCUCGUCUGACUGUCCUACAAGAAGGCUUUUGUCUGUCUCUGACUGAUGACUGACUUAUAGAAAUUAAAACUUGACUGACAUUAAUUGGACUCAGAAUAACAUUGAAGAAAUGUAAAUAGGCUUUAUUGGACUGACAUAUCAGACAUGUACAGUUUAUUAACUUUACUGGCAGAUUGGCAACGAACACUAAUAUUUAAACUUCAACAAUUAUAAAUUACAAUACUAUUAAAUUCCCAAGGACCAAACAGGCUUGUCAUAAAUGAGGCAAUUUGAGGAUCAAGAUUCAAAUUUUUCUUUUCUUACAAAGAGAACAAAUCCCUGUUUUUCAUAGUGUUGUAGGAUUAAAAUUCCAUCUAACCCCCCACGUCUGUCGCUGGUGGGCUACCAUCUACUGCAGAGCCCAAGACACUGAGGGAGGAACCAGCAGAGAUCACUUGGGGCGAUUUUAUGGUAGAUCUUCACAGCGAUCUCCUAGUAGACCUUCAAACAGUAGGACUAAUUUUCUUUACAUUGGUGGUUGGCCGCGCGCCUUGACUUCGCUUUUUACGCCGGCUACCUUGCCGAUCUAUCCAUCUCCCGUGGCCGCCGCGUCAUGACUCCGCUUUU
This 702-nucleotide long non-coding RNA is filed under the name Scophthalmus maximus (turbot). Its description in RNAcentral is "lncRNA (ENSSMAG00000032147.1)". Lineage: Eukaryota; Metazoa; Chordata; Actinopteri; Pleuronectiformes; Scophthalmidae. The record is from RNAcentral.